UAUCUCUGUAGAGUCUGCAUAUCAAUAAGCGGAGGAAAAGAAACUAACUAGGAUUCCCUCAGUAACGGCGAGUGAAGCGGGAAGAGCUCAAAUUUGAAAUCUUCAAGGUUCUACCUUGACGAAUUGUAGUUUAAAGAAGUGUUUUCUGUUAGUGGAGUUCGGUAAAAGUUCUUUGGAAUAGGACAUCAUAGAGGGUGAGAAUCCCGUAUUUGACCGUUAUUUUCAGCUGUGUGAUACACUUUCAAAGAGUCGGAUUGUUUGGGAAUGCAGUCCAAAAUGGGUGGUAAAUUUCAUCCUAAAGCUAAAUAUUGGCGAGAGACCGAUAGCGAACAAGUACCGUGAGGGAAAGAUGAAGAGAACUUUGAAAAGAGAGUUAAACAGUACGUGAAAUUGUCAAAAGGGAAGCGUUUGACACCAGUGUUGUUUUCUCGAAAAUCAAUUAAAAAUGAUGGGAUUUUGUGUUGUAUUGACUUUAUCAGCUUUCUGCACUUUUUUCUUAUCUUUUUUAAUGCACUUUUCGUUUAACAAGUCAACAUCAAUUUCUUUUGUUGUAAAAGAGUCAUUGGAAGGUGGCUUUCACUUCGGUGAAAGUGUUUAUAGCCUUUGACUUCUGCAAUCGGAGAGAUUGAGGUCUGCAGCGUAGAUCCUUCGGGGUUAGAUACAUUUGUGCUAAGUUAUAGUUUUUCAUAGACAACAUGUUGACUAUGAUUAAUCAUGUAGCUUACUCGCUUAUGCUAUUUUACCUACGCUUAGGAUGUUGAACGCGCACAGAGUCUC
RNAcentral lists this ribosomal RNA (777 nucleotides) under uncultured Neocallimastigales. RNAcentral describes it as "partial large subunit ribosomal RNA". It matches the Rfam family "Eukaryotic large subunit ribosomal RNA", at positions 24 to 614 of the family's 3401-position model. The record is from RNAcentral. Lineage: Eukaryota; Fungi; Neocallimastigomycota; Neocallimastigomycetes; Neocallimastigales.